Molecule: unclassified non-coding RNA, 335 nt
Filed under: Hevea brasiliensis (rubber tree)
Lineage: Eukaryota; Viridiplantae; Streptophyta; Magnoliopsida; Malpighiales; Euphorbiaceae
Source: RNAcentral
UGUGUUUGUCGUCUGGAUUUGUUUUCCUUUAAGUUCCUUUUGCUAGUUGAUUUGUUUGGAUAUAAUAAUAUAAAUCAAAAUAAGAGGGCAAUAUACUUUUUCAGAUGAUAAAUAAAAGUUGAAAUGUUUCAAACACAAUUUUUUUAACUAGUGAAGUAAAGGAACUGUAAUGCAGGUGAAUGUGAUGAGUGGGCCCACACUUCCAAGUUGCUUAUGUUAAUAGGUUUCAUUAAGUUGGUACAUAGAUGGUGAUUUGCGAGCUAUAAGAAGUCCUAUGCUUUGGUGUUAGCAUAUGAUAGAUCACUGCUAUUAUAGUUGAGUAUAUGUGGCAGAGA